GUGCACGCUGGCGGUCGGCCUCACCCCUGCAAGUCGAACGGCAGCACAGUAAGAGCUUGCUCUUACGGGUGGCGAGUGGCGGACGGGUGAGGAAUACAUCGGAAUCUACUUUUUCGUGGGGGAUAACGUAGGGAAACUUACGCUAAUACCGCAUACGACCUACGGGUGAAAGCAGGGGAUCUUCGGACCUUGCGCGAUUGAAUGAGCCGAUGUCGGAUUAGCUAGUUGGCGGGGUAAAGGCCCACCAAGGCGACGAUCCGUAGCUGGUCUGAGAGGAUGAUCAGCCACACUGGAACUGAGACACGGUCCAGACUCCUACGGGAGGCAGCAGUGGGGAAUAUUGGACAAUGGGCGCAAGCCUGAUCCAGCCAUACCGCGUGGGUGAAGAAGGCCUUCGGGUUGUAAAGCCCUUUUGUUGGGAAAGAAAAGCAGCAGGUUAAUACCCCGCUGUUCUGACGGUACCCAAAGAAUAAGCACCGGCUAACUUCGUG
RNAcentral lists this ribosomal RNA (491 nucleotides) under uncultured bacterium. RNAcentral's name for it is "partial 16S ribosomal RNA". It matches the Rfam family "Bacterial small subunit ribosomal RNA", at positions 29 to 507 of the family's 1533-position model. The record is from RNAcentral.